RNAcentral lists this ribosomal RNA (155 nucleotides) under Ganoderma ryvardenii. RNAcentral's name for it is "5.8S ribosomal RNA". It matches the Rfam family "5.8S ribosomal RNA". From Rfam's summary of the family: 5.8S ribosomal RNA (5.8S rRNA) is a component of the large subunit of the eukaryotic ribosome. It is transcribed by RNA polymerase I as part of the 45S precursor that also contains 18S and 28S rRNA. Functionally, it is thought that 5.8S rRNA may be involved in ribosome translocation. Lineage: Eukaryota; Fungi; Basidiomycota; Agaricomycetes; Polyporales; Polyporaceae. The record is from RNAcentral.
UACAACUUUCAGCAACGGAUCUCUUGGCUCUCGCAUCGAUGAAGAACGCAGCGAAAUGCGAUAAGUAAUGUGAAUUGCAGAAUUCAGUGAAUCAUCGAAUCUUUGAACGCACCUUGCGCUCCUUGGUAUUCCGAGGAGCAUGCCUGUUUGAGCGU